RNAcentral lists this ribosomal RNA (520 nucleotides) under uncultured Scutellospora. RNAcentral describes it as "SSU rRNA". It matches the Rfam family "Eukaryotic small subunit ribosomal RNA", at positions 569 to 1091 of the family's 1831-position model. Lineage: Eukaryota; Fungi; Glomeromycota; Glomeromycetes; Diversisporales; Gigasporaceae. The record is from RNAcentral.
AGCAGCCGCGGUAAUUCCAGCUCCAAUAGCGUAUAUUAAAGUUGUUGCAGUUAAAAAGCUCGUAGUUGAAUUUCGGGAUUCUACCGUUGGUCGGGCUAUCCAGUCUGUACUAGUGUGUAGAAUUUCUACCUUCUGGGGAACCACCAUGUUAUUAAUUUAGCGUGAUGGGAAACCAGGACCUUUACCUUGAAAAAAUUAGAGUGUUCAAAGCAGGCUUACGUCUGAAUACAUUAGCAUGGAAUAAUAAAAUAGGACGGUGGUCCUGUUUUGUUGGUUUCUGAAUCACCGUAAUGAUUAAUAGGGAUAGUUGGGGGCAUUAGUAUUCAAUUGUCAGAGGUGAAAUUCUUGGAUUUAUUGAAGACUAACUUCUGCGAAAGCAUUUGCCAAGGAUGUUUUACAUUAAUCAAGAACGAAGUUAGGGGAAUCGAAGACGAUCAGAUACCGUCGUAGUCUUAACCAUAAACUAUGCCGACUAGGGAUCGGACGAUGUUAAAUAUUAUUGACUCGUUCGGCGUCCUUA